GUCCAGACUCCUACGGGAGGCAGCAGUGGGGGAUAUUGCACAAUGGGGGAAACCCUGAUGCAGCAACGCCGCGUGAGUGAAGAAGUAUUUCGGUAUGUAAAGCUCUAUCAGCAGGGAAGAAGAAAGACGGUACCUGACUAAGAAGCCCCGGCUAACUACGUGCCAGCAGCCGCGGUAAUACGUAGGGGGCAAGCGUUAUCCGGAUUUACUGGGUGUAAAGGGAGCGUAGACGGCAUGGCAAGUCAGAUGUGAAAGCCCGGGGCUCAACCCCGGGACUGCAUUUGAAACUGUCAGGCUGGAGUGCAGGAGAGGUAAGUGGAAUUCCUAGUGUAGCGGUGAAAUGCGUAGAUAUUAGGAGGAACACCAGUGGCGAAGGCGGCUUACUGGACUGUAACUGACGUUGAGGCUCGAAAGCGUGGGGAGCAAACAGGAUUAGAUACCCCCGUACG
This 449-nucleotide ribosomal RNA is filed under the name uncultured bacterium. RNAcentral describes it as "bacterial SSU rRNA". It matches the Rfam family "Bacterial small subunit ribosomal RNA", at positions 329 to 793 of the family's 1533-position model. The record is from RNAcentral.